GUUAGGAAUAUUGGACAAUGGGCGAAAGCCUGAUCCAGCCAUGCCGCGUGAACGAUGAAGGCCUUCGGGUUGUAAAGUUCUUUAGCCGAUGAUUAUAAUGACUGUAGUCGGAAAAUAAGCCCCGGCUAACUUCGUGCCAGCAGCCGCGGUAAUACGAAGGGGGCGAGCGUUAUUCGGAAUCACUGGGCGUAAAGCGUGCGUAGGCGGCUUUGCAAGUUGGGAGUGAAAGCCCAGGGCUCAACCCUGGAAUUGCUCUCAAAACUGCAAGGCUCGAAUUCGGGAGAGGAUAGCGGAAUUGUCAGUGUAGCAGUGAAAUGCGUAGAUAUUGACAGGAACACCAGUGGCGUAAGCGGCUAUCUGGACCGAUAUUGACGCUGAGGCACGAAAGCGUGGGGAUCAAACAGGAUUAGAUACCCCGGUAGUCC
This 425-nucleotide ribosomal RNA is filed under the name uncultured bacterium. Its description in RNAcentral is "partial 16S ribosomal RNA". It matches the Rfam family "Bacterial small subunit ribosomal RNA", at positions 354 to 796 of the family's 1533-position model. The record is from RNAcentral.